RNAcentral lists this ribosomal RNA (750 nucleotides) under uncultured Planctomycetota bacterium. RNAcentral's name for it is "bacterial SSU rRNA". It matches the Rfam family "Bacterial small subunit ribosomal RNA", at positions 76 to 807 of the family's 1533-position model. Lineage: Bacteria; Pseudomonadati; Planctomycetota. The record is from RNAcentral.
UCUUCGGAGACCGAGUAAAGUGGCGAACGGGUGAGUAACGCAUAGACAACUUGCCCCUGAGAUGGGAACAACGCUCCGAAAGGAGCGCUAAUACCCAAUAGCAUCCGGACCCCACGGGAUCUGGAUGAAAGGAGGCCUCUGACUCAAGCUUCCGCUCAGGGAGAGGUUUAUGUCCUAUUAGCUUGUUGGUGAGGUAACGGCUCACCAAGGCGACGAUGGGUAGCCGACCUGAGAGGGUGACCGGCCACAUUGGGACUGAGACACUGCCCAAACUCCUACGGGAGGCUGCAGUCGAGAAUCUUCCGCAAUGCGCGCAAGCGUGACGGAGCGACGCCGCGUGGGUGAUGAAGGCCUUCGGGUUGUAAAACCCUGUCAGUUACUAGGAACCGCAGGUGGUGAAUAACCAUCCUGCCUGACUAUGUAACAGAGGAAGCACCGGCUAAAUACGUGCCAGCAGCCGCGGUAAUACGUAUGGUGCGAACGUUGUUCGGAAUCACUGGGCCUAAAGCGCGCGUAGGCGGCUAGGUAAGUCAGGUGUGAAAUCCCUCGGCUCAACCGAGGAACCGGGCCUGAUACUGCCCGGCUAGAGUGCAGGAGGGGAGAGUGGAAUUCCUGGUGGAGCGGUGAAAUGCGUAGAUAUCAGGAGGAACGCCGGUGGCGAAAGCGGCUCUCUGGUCUGUUACUGACGCUGAGGCGCGAAAGCUAGGGGAGCAAACGGGAUUAGAUACCCCGGUAGUCCUAGCCCUAAAC